RNAcentral lists this unclassified non-coding RNA (270 nucleotides) under Hevea brasiliensis (rubber tree). The record is from RNAcentral. Lineage: Eukaryota; Viridiplantae; Streptophyta; Magnoliopsida; Malpighiales; Euphorbiaceae.
CAUAUAGCAACAUCUCCCAGCGCAGACAGAACCCAAAGUCUUUUGUUUGACGCAGCUUUAUCUCCAUAGCACCUUCCCUUAAUCUAGUUUCCCUGGAAACCAUCGCUCCGGGGAAGAUCGGAAUGCGUUGAAGGCUUGAUGCCGAUCUUUUGAGCAUUCGAUCCGGCCAAACGACGAGACUUCAAGGGCCUUGACCAGCACCGGAGCACCUCCCUCGGCCUCAAGAAUUUCCAGCAAUUCUCAGUUCUCAUCGGCAGCAAUACCAGCGCG